RNAcentral lists this ribosomal RNA (606 nucleotides) under uncultured bacterium. RNAcentral describes it as "bacterial SSU rRNA". It matches the Rfam family "Bacterial small subunit ribosomal RNA", at positions 338 to 950 of the family's 1533-position model. The record is from RNAcentral.
CCUACGGGAGGCAGCAGUAAGGAAUAUUGGUCAAUGGACGCAAGUCUGAACCAGCCAUGCCGCGUGAAGGAUUAAGGCCCUCUGGGUUGUAAACUUCUUUUAUAGGGGACGAAAAAAGGGCAUUCUUGCUCACUUGACGGUACCCUAGGAAUAAGCACCGGCUAACUCCGUGCCAGCAGCCGCGGUAAUACGGAGGGUGCAAGCGUUAUCCGGAUUUACUGGGUUUAAAGGGUGCGUAGGUGGGUUGGUAAGUCAGUGGUGAAAUCUUCGAGCUUAACUCGGAAACUGCCAUUGAUACUAUCAAUCUUGAAUCAUCUAGAGGUAAGCGGAAUAUGUCAUGUAGCGGUGAAAUGCUUAGAUAUGACAUAGAACACCAAUUGCGAAGGCAGCUUACUAUGGAUGUAUUGACACUGAGGCACGAAAGCGUGGGGAUCAAACAGGAUUAGAUACCCUGGUAGUCCACGCCCUAAACGAUGGAUACUCGACAUUUGUGAUAUACUAUAAGUGUCUGAGCGAAAGCAUUAAGUAUCCACCUGGAAGUAACGACGCAAGUUGAAAUUCAAAGGAAUUGACGGCGNGAGAGNGCGAGACGACACGAGGAGGAGG